RNAcentral lists this unclassified non-coding RNA (224 nucleotides) under Hevea brasiliensis (rubber tree). The record is from RNAcentral. Lineage: Eukaryota; Viridiplantae; Streptophyta; Magnoliopsida; Malpighiales; Euphorbiaceae.
AAAUUAUUGCCUAGAUUUGGUCCACUAUGGAUCAAGAUACAAACAUUUGGGACCAUGUUUAUUUAAUAGGUUUGUUGAAUCUAUGGUAAACCAAGUUUAAGCAACAAAAAUCCUGUGAAGAUAAUAAGUAUUCUGACAUGGAUAAUCAAUUAUGACAUGAUGUUCUCUUGUAUUAUGAUCUUUGUUUCUGUUUUGUCUAGGAAGAACAUAUUUUUGUAGCAAAU